GAUGAACGCUUGCGGCAGGCUUAAUACAUGCAAGUCGAACGGUAACAGGGUCUUCGGACUGCUGACGAGUGGCGGAUGGGUGAGUAACGCGUAUGCAACCUUCCUCACACCGAGAAAAAGUCGACUGAAAAGUUGAAUAAAGUCUCGUGAUGUACACGUCCCGCAUGAGAUGUGUAUGAUAGAAGCAAUUUGGUGUGAGAUGGGCAUGCGUAUCAUUAGCUAGUUGGUAGGGUAACGGCUAACCAAGGCGACGAUGAUUAGGGGGCCUGAGAGGGUGGUCCCCCACACUGGGACUGAGACACGGCCCAGACUCCUACGGGAGGCAGCAGUAGGGAAUAUUGGUCAAUGGGCGGAAGCCUGAACCAGCCAUGCCGCGUGAUGGAUGACGGCCUUAGGGUUGUAAACAUCUUUUCUGCUAGAGGAAUAUAGUUCACGUGUGGACAGACGACUGUAUAGCAGGAAUAAGGAUCGGCUAACUCCGUGCCAGCAGCCGCGGUAAUACGGAGGAUUCGAGCGUUAUCCGGAUUUACUGGGUUUAAAGGGUGCGCAGGCGGGCUCUUAAGUCAGCGGUGAAAUGUCUUGGCUUACCCUAGGAAUUGCCUUUGAUACUGUGAGUCUUGGAUAAGCAUAAGGACUGCGGAAUGCGUAGUGUAGCGGUGAAAUGCUUAGAUAUUACGUGAAAACCAAUUGCGAAGGCUGCUGUCUGUGUCUUCAUCUACGCUCAAGCACGAAGCGUGGGAGCAACAGG
RNAcentral lists this ribosomal RNA (748 nucleotides) under uncultured Bacteroidales bacterium. RNAcentral describes it as "bacterial SSU rRNA". It matches the Rfam family "Bacterial small subunit ribosomal RNA", at positions 28 to 776 of the family's 1533-position model. Lineage: Bacteria; Pseudomonadati; Bacteroidota; Bacteroidia; Bacteroidales. The record is from RNAcentral.